Molecule: ribosomal RNA, 207 nt
Filed under: uncultured bacterium
Lineage: Bacteria
Description: partial 16S ribosomal RNA
Rfam family: Bacterial small subunit ribosomal RNA
Source: RNAcentral
CGGAUUGCAGGCUGCAACUCGCCUGCAUGAAGUCGGAAUUGCUAGUAAUCGCAGAUCAGCAUGCUGCGGUGAAUACGUUCCCGGGCCUUGUACACACCGCCCGUCACACCAUGGGAGUCGGUAACACCCGAAGUCGGUAGCCUAACCGUAAGGAGGGCGCCGCCGAAGGUGGGAUUGAUGACUGGGGUGAAGUCGUAACAAGGUAGC